RNAcentral lists this ribosomal RNA (951 nucleotides) under uncultured organism. RNAcentral's name for it is "bacterial SSU rRNA". It matches the Rfam family "Bacterial small subunit ribosomal RNA", at positions 379 to 1355 of the family's 1533-position model. The record is from RNAcentral.
AAGUCUGACGCAGCGACGCCGCGUGGAUGAUGAAGGCCUUCGGGUUGUAAAAUCCUUUUCCGGGCGAUGAGGAAUGACACUAGCCUGGGAAUAAGCGUCGGCUAACUACGUGCCAGCAGCCGCGGUAAGACGUAGGACGCGAGCGUUAUCCGGAUUUACUGGGCGUAAAGCGCCUGCAGGCGGUCAGGUAAGUCGGUUGUGAAAGCCCCGUGCUCAACCGCGCCGAGGCCCAAGCGAUACUGCGCGACUGAAGGCCGGUAAGAGGCGAGUGGAAUUCCCGGUGUAGCGGUCAAAUGCCGCAGAUAUCGGGAGGAACACCAGUGGCGAAGGCGGCUCCCUGGACCGCACCUGACGCUCAGAGGCGAAAGCUAGGGGAGCGAACAGGAUUAGAGACCCUGGUAGUCCUAGCCCUAAACGCUGGAUGCUAGGUGUAGGGCUGAUGAGGCUCUGUGCCGGAGCGAACGCGAUAAGCAUCCCGCCUGGGAACUACGGCCGCAAGGCUAAAACUCAAACGAAUUGACGGGGACCCGCACAAGCAGCGGAGCGUGUGGUUUAAUUCGAUGCUACACGAAGAACCUUACCUGGGUUUGACAUGUUGGUGGUACCGAACCGAAAGGGGAGGGACCCUUCGGGGAGCCAACACAGGUGCUGCAUGGCUGUCGUCAGCUCGUGCCGUGAGGUGUCGGGUUAAGUCCCGUAACGAGCGCAACCCUUGCUCUUAGUUAUACGUGUCUAAGGGGACUGCCGGCGACAAGCCGGAGGCACGGUGGGGAUGACGUCAAGUCAGCAUGGCCUUGAUAUCCAGGGCUACACACACGCUACAAUGGCCGGUACAAAGGGCAGCCAAGCCGCGAGGUGGAGCGAAUCCCAGCAAAGCCGGUCCCAGUUCGGAUUGCAGGCUGCAACCCGCCUGCACGAAGUUGGAGUUGCUAGUAACCGCGCGUCAGCCAU